GUACCGCACGAACGUUAUUCGGGAAUCACUGGGGCUUAAAGGGUGCGUAGGCGGCUUGGAAGGUGGGGUGUGAAAUCCCUCGGCUUAACCGAGGGAACUGCGCUCCAAACCGCCAGGCUUGAGGGAGGCAGGGGUGAGCGGAACUGAUGGUGGAGCGGUGAAAUGCGUUGAUAUCAUCAGGAACACCAGUGGCGAAGGCGGCUCACUGGGCCUCUUCUGACGCUGAGGCACGAAAGCUAGGGUAGCGAACGGGAUUAGAUACCCCGGUAGUCCUAGCUGUAAACGAUGAGCACUGGAUCGAGGGGGCCUCCACACCCUCUCGGUCGUAGCGAAAGUGUUAAGUGCUCCGCCUGGGGAGUAUGGUCGCAAAGGCUGA
This 376-nucleotide ribosomal RNA is filed under the name uncultured organism. Its description in RNAcentral is "partial 16S ribosomal RNA". It matches the Rfam family "Bacterial small subunit ribosomal RNA", at positions 527 to 897 of the family's 1533-position model. The record is from RNAcentral.